Molecule: small RNA, 96 nt
Filed under: bovine gut metagenome
Description: RT-5 RNA
Rfam family: RT-5 RNA
About the family: Clostridium (Firmicutes). Environment (Cow rumen (57))
Source: RNAcentral
GCGCCUGCGGCGGAUGCAGCAUAGCCCCAUAACGGUCCUGCAGGCGGCCUGGCUAUGUACCAUCUGGUGAUCGGCAAUUUUGCCGAUUCAAAGAAU